GACGAACGCUGGCGGCGUGCUUAACACAUGCAAGUCGAACGGAAAGGCCCUGCUUUUGUGGGGUUCUCGAGGGGCGCACGGGUGUGUAACACGGGAGUAACCUGCCCCUGACCUUGGUAUGACUUCAGGAAACUGGGGCUAAUACCGGAUAGGAGCUCCUGCUGCAUGGGGGUGGAUGGAAAGUUUCGUCGGGUGGGGGUGGACUCCCGGCUUGUCAGCUGGUUGGUGGGGUACUGGCUUACCAAGGCUUUGACGGGUAGCCGGCCUGAGAGGGUGACCGGCCACAUUGGGCCUGAGAUAGGGCCCAGACUCCUACGGGAGGCAGCAGUGGGGAAUAUUGAAAAAUGGGCGGAAGCCUGAUGCAGCAACGCCGCGGGCGGGAUGACGGCCUUCGGGUGGAAAACCGCUUUCGCCUGUGACGAAGCGUGAGUGACGGUAAUGGGUAAAGAAGCACCGGCUAACUACGUG
This 468-nucleotide ribosomal RNA is filed under the name uncultured bacterium. RNAcentral's name for it is "partial 16S ribosomal RNA". It matches the Rfam family "Bacterial small subunit ribosomal RNA", at positions 28 to 507 of the family's 1533-position model. The record is from RNAcentral.